RNAcentral lists this transfer RNA (62 nucleotides) under Heterocephalus glaber (naked mole-rat). It matches the Rfam family "tRNA", at positions 1 to 61 of the family's 71-position model. From Rfam's summary of the family: Transfer RNA (tRNA) molecules are approximately 80 nucleotides in length. Their secondary structure includes four short double-helical elements and three loops (D, anti-codon, and T loops). Lineage: Eukaryota; Metazoa; Chordata; Mammalia; Rodentia; Bathyergidae. The record is from Rfam by way of RNAcentral.
GGGGAUGUAGCUCAGCGGUAGAGCUCCCGCCUUGCAUGCGUGAGGCCCUGGGUUCAGCCCCU